Molecule: transfer RNA, 72 nt
Filed under: Candidatus Kaiserbacteria bacterium
Lineage: Bacteria; Candidatus Kaiseribacteriota
Description: tRNA-Glu
Rfam family: tRNA
About the family: Transfer RNA (tRNA) molecules are approximately 80 nucleotides in length.
Source: RNAcentral
GGCCCUAUCGUCUAACGGUUAGGACGGAGGCUUUUCAAGCCUUAAAUCGGGGUUCGAUUCCCCGUAGGGUCA